ACCACUGGCUUCCUUGUUCAACUUGCAGACAGCCUAUUGUGAACUUUACCUUGUGAUCAUGUGAGUUAGUUCCCUUUAAUGAACUCACUCUCAUAUACGUAUAUUCUAUUAGUUCUCUCCUUGUAGAGAAUCCUAAUACAGCCUCUCAUCCUAUGUCCAAGUCAAUUUGACCUGCCCAAAGCUUGUUUGGAGGCCACGUAAAAUUCUAGCUUCUCUAACCAUUUUUCCAAGUCACCCCGUUUUCUUCCCCCUCUGGUCACAAUCUUGUGAUUGUUUCAGCCACCCUCACCCACUAAUCCUUCAGCUAUCCAUCUCCAGGGUUUGAUAAUGUAUUUAAUUUUAGGACCUAGAGAACAUUCUCUUGAAUUUGGAUCUGCAGAUUUGAGAUACUAGUAUCUAGGCAGGUCAUAAUAACCCACAAUUUCCUAAUGAUCUAGUGCCAGCUAAUUCUGUAAAGACCUCAAAGACACGGGACCAGCAUAACAACUUUUUAACAGACAUCCAGAUUAGCUGGUCUUUUCAAAAAAAAAAAAAAAAAAAAGAUACUUAGAGUGAUAAAAGCUGAUGGUGUAGAGUGAGUCCCUAGUGUCACUCAAAAAGGUUUUCAGAUUAUACAAAAACAAGCAAGCUCCUGGAGCCAGGGUGUUACCUUCAUUCCAAGGUGGCCUGAGAAGUCUUACAACAACCUUUGCGUUUACUUCCAGAGAUCCAGAGAAGAAUUAGAACAGUUACUGUUUUUUUUUUUUUUUUUUUUUUUUUGGUAAGGAAGCUCUCCCAUUUUUCUCCUCUCCUUGACUCAUUAUUAGGCAGUCACCAGCUCAGUGGCAGGUAGACAUCUCAAAGUCCCUCAGUCUUCACCCUUGGGGUCUGAGAUGGUUUGGCUGGGUGUCCCCACCCAGAUCUCAACUUGUAGCUCCCAUAAUUCCCACAUGUUGUGCGAGGGACCCCAAGGGAGAUGAUUGAAUCAUGGGGACAUGUCUUUCCCAUGCUGUUCUCAUGAUAGUGAAUGGGUCUCAGGAUCUGAUGGUUUUAAGAACAGGAGUCUCCCUGCACAGGCUCUUUGCCUCCUGCCAUCCAUGUAAGAUGUAAACUUGCUCCUCUUCUUGCCUUCUGCCAUGAUUGUGAGGCAUCCCCCAGCCAUGUGGAACUGUAAGUCCAAUUAAAACUUUCUUUUGUAAAUUGACCAGUCUCAGGUACGUCUAUCUGCAGCAUGAAAAUGGACUAAUAUAGGGUCUAUUAUCAUUUAUGGCAAAGUGAAUGUUUAACCUUCUUGAGAGUUAUCUAGCUUUUAAGAUUAUCGAAUGGAUCAGGCAUUCACUUCACUCUAGCUUUACUACUUCACAUUUGUAUUAAUUUUAGACGUUUGAAGAGAUUUUUGGACAUUCAAAAUGCAACUGCCACAUAUUUCCAAGUGAUUUAAUAGACUUUCAAUGGUGCUACAGAUCCCUGCAUGAUUUACCUGGAGA
Molecule: long non-coding RNA, 1466 nt
Filed under: Homo sapiens (human)
Lineage: Eukaryota; Metazoa; Chordata; Mammalia; Primates; Hominidae
Description: HSALNT0144768
Source: RNAcentral